CUAGAACAUUAAAACGGGUAAUAUUUCGACAUUGCCAUAGUUAUACUGAGACAGGUGAAGACUAUUAAGGUCAUAUUUAGAGAGUCCCCUUGUGAUUGGUGAAUUCAUGCCCUCUGUGGAUUCAGCUUGUUCACGCUGUUGUCCGGUGGUCUGCCUGUGUUGCAGCUGCUGCAGGGCUAGUUGAAAGGUGCUGCACGACAU
This is a non-coding RNA of Pelobates cultripes (western spadefoot toad), 201 nucleotides long. NCBI's taxonomy places the organism in Eukaryota, Metazoa, Chordata, Amphibia, Anura, Pelobatidae. The record is from the annotation of a GenBank genome assembly.